GGUCCCCUGUAUGAUCUCCAAAGUUAAGCAAUGUCGAGCUUAUUCAGUACUUAAAUGAGUGACUGCUUGGGAAUAUCAGGUACUGUAA
Molecule: non-coding RNA, 88 nt
Organism: Acanthosepion pharaonis
Lineage: Eukaryota; Metazoa; Mollusca; Cephalopoda; Sepiida; Sepiidae
Source: the annotation of a GenBank genome assembly